CCGGCGACCGGCGCACGGGUGAGUAACACGUAUGCAACCUGCCCUCUUCAGGGGGACAACCUUCCGAAAGGGAGGCUAAUCCCGCGUAUAUCGGUUUCGGGCAUCCGAGAUCGAGGAAAGAUUCAUCGGAAGAGGAUGGGCAUGCGGCGCAUUAGCUAGACGGCGGGGUAACGGCCCACCUAACCGACGAUGCGUAGGGGUUCUGAGAGGAAGGUCCCCCACACUGGUACUGAGACACGGACCAGACUCCUACGGAAGGCAGCAG
Molecule: ribosomal RNA, 265 nt
Filed under: uncultured bacterium
Lineage: Bacteria
Description: partial 16S ribosomal RNA
Rfam family: Bacterial small subunit ribosomal RNA
Source: RNAcentral